UUGUACAUGGUAUUAAUUACGGCUCUGUGUUCACAUAGCCGCUGCUGAUACGUGUUUAUACAUGGAAGUAACGUCAUGUGUGCACAACAUGAAGAGGGUCAGUGGGAUGUAGGUGUUUUUCCACAUGGCGAGCGAACAGAUGACGUUCACAUCAAGCGGUUUGAUUCCCAUGUCCUGAACCUGCAUCCAGAGACCAGGAGCCAGGCAGGAGCCUGUCUGAACCCGAGCCGUGUGGCGGGUUGUUGGCAGUGAAAGGAGAACAGUGACCAGGUCUUGGGAAGGAUUCCUGUGUGUGUUUCCUGUUGGCCUCAGUGUUUCCACGCUGUUAUCAUUCCAGCUGAUAAUGCAGUGCUCAGGCUCUUUUUCUCAGGACCAAAUGCACACUGCCACACAUUCUGAUGGCGUGACAUAGACCUCCACCACAGAGCCUCCUCUGUCUGAGGCAGAGCACAAUGCCAGGCCGGGACCCACAGCUGGUACACAUACUGGUGGAGCAUUCUGCCAACCUGACCACUAUUACUGAUAUAUGAGGACGUAUGCAUAUGUGCAGCACUGUGUGCAGGUUUCAAGAGGUUCUUUUAAGAAUGUUGUGAUCACUCAACAUUGUGGAGGGAUUUAAAAUUUCAGUGAACUGUGUACUUCUGUCCGUGAGCAACACAAUGUAAACAUACACCUAAAUUAACUAAAUCUAUACACAUUUUCAAAA
This is a long non-coding RNA of Platichthys flesus (European flounder), 706 nucleotides long. RefSeq lists it as uncharacterized. Lineage: Eukaryota; Metazoa; Chordata; Actinopteri; Pleuronectiformes; Pleuronectidae. The transcript is spliced from 2 exons. The record is from RefSeq and is a predicted model, not a curated record.